RNAcentral lists this signal recognition particle RNA (231 nucleotides) under chicken gut metagenome. RNAcentral describes it as "Bacterial large signal recognition particle RNA". It matches the Rfam family "Bacterial large signal recognition particle RNA", at positions 9 to 238 of the family's 256-position model. Rfam says of the family: The signal recognition particle (SRP) is a universally conserved ribonucleoprotein involved in the co-translational targeting of proteins to membranes. The record is from RNAcentral.
GCCGGGGAGAUAGCGGUGCCCUGUAUCUGAGAUCCGCUUUAGCAGAGGUGAUACCCUGCCGAGGGCAGUAUAUCGCAUGGCAGUUUUCUCUCAGGGUCGUUGAAGCCGGGGUCCCGCGCAAUAGGAAUUUGUGAACCGUGUCAGGGCAGGAAUGCAGCAGCACUAAGCAAAACCUCUUAUGUGCCGCGGGAGUGCCUUAGCCGAGAUCCUGAAGGGAAGAUACGCAUGUCU